GAUGAACGCUAGCGGCAGGCUUAAUACAUGCAAGUCAAGGGGGUAGCAAUACAACCGGCGCACGGGUGAGUAACGCGUACACAACAUACCAUAUACUGGGGUAUAGCUUCGGGAAACUGGAGAUAAUCCCCCAUAACAUUGCGAGAGGGCAUCUGAUUGCAAUUAAAGUUUCGACGGUAUAUGAUUGGUGUGCGUUUGAUUAGCUUGUUGGUAGGGUAACGGCCUACCAAGGCGACGAUCAAUAGCUGGCGUGAGAGCGCGACCAGCCACACUGGAACUGAGACACGGUCCAGACUCCUACGGGAGGCAGCAGUAGGGAAUAUUGGACAAUGGGCGAAAGCCUGAUCCAGCCAUGCCGCGUGAUAGAUGAAGGCCCUACUGGGUUGUAAAGUAUCUUUUAAUCUGGGAAGAAACUCCUCUAUUCUUAGAGGCCUGACGGUACCAGAGGAAUAAGCACCGGCUAACUCCGUGCCAGCAGCCGCGGUAAU
This 488-nucleotide ribosomal RNA is filed under the name uncultured bacterium. RNAcentral describes it as "bacterial SSU rRNA". It matches the Rfam family "Bacterial small subunit ribosomal RNA", at positions 28 to 524 of the family's 1533-position model. The record is from RNAcentral.